Molecule: ribosomal RNA, 208 nt
Filed under: uncultured bacterium
Lineage: Bacteria
Description: partial 16S ribosomal RNA
Rfam family: Bacterial small subunit ribosomal RNA
Source: RNAcentral
CGUGUAGGCGGUUUGGCAAGUCGAGUGUGAAAUCCCACGGCUCAACCGUGGAACUGCGCUCGAAACUGCCUUACUUGAGUGCGGGAGAGGUGUGCGGAAUUCCUGGUGUAGCGGUGGAAUGCGUAGAUAUCAGGAAGAACACCGGUGGCGAAGGCGACACACUGGCCCAGCACUGACGCUGAGGCGCGAAAGCGUGGGGAGCGAACGG